UUUCUGUUGGAGAUCCCUGUCUAUCUUAGAUCUUCUGAAGGAAUUCCCUGCUUUAAAAUGCUGGCUGCAGAGAAGGCAUCACUAUAGCCUUGUCAGAGGGAGCUAAUGCAGCAGCGCUACAUGGCCUUGCUUCUUCCGUUGCAGAAAAAUGCAUGCGGAUUGCCAGUGAGAGAAGAGUAAUUUAGUACGCUGGUGAAGGAAUAAAAGCAACACUGAUCUCAGAGGUGUGAACCAUGCUCACAGGAUGGUGGUUGUGCAGCAGGUCAAUGUAUUUUUGAAACCUCCUGCAGAAUAAUGUUGCAGGGAUAAAUUUCUUGCUUCAGUGAUGAAGAUAGAUUAGAAUGACUGUUCUUGGCCUAUUUUAUUAAAUGGUUUUCCUACGGUUUGCAUCAUCAACUGUUCUGCUAGAAGAAAAUUUGUGGCAUUUCCUUUCAGCAUCAUGUGUUCUACAGAACAGGAGUUCUGACUACCUCCAUUAUGAUGUUCUUUCCUCAUUGCCUGCAUCUUAUCAGCCCCUGGGCUGCAGGCAGAAAAAAGUAGACCCCCUGGGCUGAUCUGAAUGCUGUCAUUCAUGAUAAAGUGAGUAUUAGCUUGAAACAACUGUAAUAUAACUUGUGGACAAAUCUGUUCAGAAGUGUUGUUGAGUUCACUGAAAUCAGCAGUGUUCGCUGUUUGUUGAUGGACUGUUUGAGUCUUGCGGAUUUUGUGUCAUGUAUUUCUAGCUUACAUCCAGAGGCCUCAAUUACAGAGGGAUCAAGUGGUUUCCCAAACUUAGACUUACUUUUGUUACCUUGAACUAAAAUUUUUUGAAGGAAUUUAUCAGAGUAAGUUGUGACAACUUGUUCCUUUGAGUCUGUCCCUGGUCUGUCAGAAGAAGGUAUAAAAACUGUGUGUCAGAUGUCACAGCCGUAAAACAUGGGGAAUAUACCUACAAAUAUCUAAGUAAUGUGGGCCAUUACUUGGAAGCAUGAAAAGUAAUUCUUUCUUCUUUGAGAAAAGGUUUUGUGCACUUCAGAGUAUCUGGCACUCAAUACCUCAACUUAUAUGUGGUCAGUCAGCCAAGAAGGCUACUGUUUCAUAGAAUAGUUGACGUUGGAAAAGGCUUUCACGUUCAUCUAGUCCAACCAAGUCCCCACCUCCAGGGGCAGUGACUGUGACCUCCCUGGGCAGCCUUUACUACUGUCCAGCCACUCUUUCUGACAAGGAGUCUCUCCUAAUAGCCAACCUUAGCCUCUGCAGACAAAACUUGAGGCCAUUUCUCUCUAGUUCUAUUGCUGUUACCUGGAACAACAGGCCGACAGCCUUCUCACCACAACCUCAUUUCAGGGAGUUGAACAGAACUGUGAUGUCUCCCCUGAGCCUCCUCUUUUCUAAAGACAGAAGACAUGUCUCCUGAUUCAAAACCCAACCAAUUUUUUCUGUAGUUUUUUGUGCAGCUGUUCAGCCCUCUGCAAAAUUAAGUUUUAUUUUUAUGUGAAAAAUAAAAAAUAGUACAUUUUC
Molecule: long non-coding RNA, 1500 nt
Organism: Gallus gallus (chicken)
Lineage: Eukaryota; Metazoa; Chordata; Aves; Galliformes; Phasianidae
Source: Ensembl